This 64-nucleotide transfer RNA is filed under the name Euparatettix tridentatus. RNAcentral's name for it is "tRNA-Cys". The record is from RNAcentral. Lineage: Eukaryota; Metazoa; Arthropoda; Insecta; Orthoptera; Tetrigidae.
GGUUUUGUAUUCAAUUAUGAUUUUAGAUUGCAAUUCUAAAGGUACGACUGAUUCGUUAAGGCCU